AAAUUACCCUCAUCUAAUAGGAA
RNAcentral lists this small nuclear RNA (23 nucleotides) under Arabidopsis thaliana (thale cress). RNAcentral describes it as "snRNA_15564". The record is from RNAcentral. Lineage: Eukaryota; Viridiplantae; Streptophyta; Magnoliopsida; Brassicales; Brassicaceae.